UAAGACCAGCGAUUGGCUAUCUGUUUCCUGUUUUGUUUCGUGGAGUUAGAUGUAAGACCAGCGAUUGGCUUUCUGUUUCCCAUUUGUUUUUGGAGUUGGAUGUAAGCCCAGCGAUUGGCAUUCCAUUUCCAGUUUUUGUUCUCUCUUGAGACUCGCUUGUUGUAUCCCCAUAGGUUUGCUAGACUUCGCAUAGUCUCUCGUUUGCAUGUCAACUAAGGUAGCACGGUUCCUUCGUCUAGGACUUCCUUUCUUGCAUGAGCAUUCCUAAAACACAAAC
RNAcentral lists this long non-coding RNA (277 nucleotides) under Lathyrus oleraceus (garden pea). RNAcentral describes it as "Pisum sativum (pea) long non-coding RNA (PSAT_LNC014704)". Lineage: Eukaryota; Viridiplantae; Streptophyta; Magnoliopsida; Fabales; Fabaceae. The record is from RNAcentral.